Molecule: long non-coding RNA, 695 nt
Organism: Lolium perenne
Lineage: Eukaryota; Viridiplantae; Streptophyta; Magnoliopsida; Poales; Poaceae
Source: RefSeq, a predicted model, not a curated record
UCACACUCCACUCCCUCAUACCUUCCUCCCCUUCCUCCCCACGAGCUGCUGCUCCCCCUUGCUCACAUGGCCGGCCAUGGCCAUAGAAAUCCACCAAGAUGAAGCUCCCCUCCUCCCUCAAGCUUCCCCUCACCAUGAGAGCUUCCCUCUCACUCUCUUCUCCCCUAACCCUAGCUGAAUCCCCCUCUAUUUAUCCUUUCUCCUCUCACAAGAUUGGAUCUUGAUGCAGGUGCAUGUUGGUCCAAGCAUGGAGAGGGUUGAGCAAUCCUCUUUUUUUUUUUUUUUUGCGAAUGUGGUUAAGCAAUCCUCAGAUCUGAAACUCUUGAUCCAAAUCCAAAUCGAGUGAUUCAAAGUUCCAAAGAUAGGUAUUGAAAAGAUCUACAACGUGGCGUUGGUCUCAUCCUCAAAUUAGUUACGGAUUUUGCAUGAUCAAGAUCUGGUCAGAUCUGACUUUGUCGAAUUAAACCAGGAGCUUGGAAACGAAUUUUUGAAUGAAACCAAUUGGGGGAUAAUUGGUUUAUACCAUGGUGAUAACCGAGAGAGGCAAUUGCUAAAGUUGUGAUGCACUCAUACCUUUACUAGAUGCAAACAAUUCCGGAGAAGAAGAAGAAGUGGAAUCGGACGAGGAUUUUAUUUAUAUAUGUUGUUGGAAUUCUUAUAUUGAUGGAUUUGACGAAGUAUAGGGACAAAUAAGC